This 1279-nucleotide ribosomal RNA is filed under the name Candidatus Woesebacteria bacterium. Its description in RNAcentral is "partial 23S ribosomal RNA". It matches the Rfam family "Bacterial large subunit ribosomal RNA", at positions 2445 to 2912 of the family's 2925-position model. The record is from RNAcentral. Lineage: Bacteria; Candidatus Woeseibacteriota.
UCGCUCAACGGAUAAAAGCUACCCCGGGGAUAACAGGCUUAUCUCCCCCAAGAGUUCACAUCGACGGGGAGGUUUGGCACCUCGAUGUCGGCUCAUCGCAUCCUGGGGCUGAAGUCGGUCCCAAGGGUUGGGCUGUUCGCCCAUUAAAGCGGUACGUGAGCUGGGUUCAGAACGUCGUGAGACAGUUGAAGCUAUAGGACAUUUUAGCUUGACAUUUGAGCUGUCUCUCCUUUUCGACGUAAAAAAAUAAACUUUUUGUCCAAAAAGAAUAAAGGGAUAUAAAUCUGGCUAUAUGCUGGGAAGUCUUGUUAAAUGGUAAUCUACUAGUAUAUAAUUUAUUUACUAGUAAAAAUGAUUUACCCUGAGAUUAUCAGCAGGAAAGGCUAGUUCUAUAUGUCUCUGAAGAUCAGUGAUGAUUAUCUAAUUGGUUUUGUAGAAGGAGAAGGAAUGUUUUACAUUGGAAUUGUUCCGUCUAGUGGAACGAGUAGAACAGCAAGUGGUUGGCAAGUUAUUUAUUUCUUUAAAGCUUCGCAAAACCCUUGUGGAAAGAUUAUAUUAGAUCAAUUAAGAAAGAGAUUGGAUUGUGGUUAUUUAAAACCUAACAGUCAAACUGAUCCAACUGAUAAAUCUUUAGCGUUAGUUGUUAGAGAUUUACCAAGUUUGAGAGACAAAGUUAUUCCGUUUUUUGAAAAUAAACUGGUUAUCAAACGUCGCACUUUUGGUAAGUUUAAAAAAGUGAUAGAAAUUGUUGACCAGAGAAAACAUUUAACAAAAGAUGGAAUGAAGAAAGUUCUUGAUAUUGCUUAUUCUAUGAAUACUCGAAAGAGAAAAGUAAGCAAAAAAAGAAUUCUUAAAGAUUACGAGAACUAGAAUCCUCACAGGCCAUACGCCAGAGUACGUUCAGUUUAUAUGAAGGUACAAGAUAUGGUCGGACCCCUAUGGCGACAUAGGGAGCUAGCAGGAAAAAGAAACUAGCUAGCCACAUAAUUGUGUAACAAUAAUGUCGGACUCUAUCCGGUGGAAGCGUUUGAGCCUUGAGGGGCGCUGACCUCAGUACGAGAGGACCAGGUCGGGGGAAUCCCUAGUGUGCCGGUUGUGGUGUUUACUGCAACGCCGGGUAGCUACAUUCCUUAGGGAUAACCGCUGAAAGCAUCUAAGCGGGAAGCCCACCCCAAGAUGAGGGCUCAUUGAGACCCCUGGAAGACUACCAGGUUAUUCGGCAGGCGGUGGAAGACCCGUAAGGGUUUAAGCUAACCUGUUGCGAAUCGGUCAAAGAAUU